Molecule: unclassified non-coding RNA, 334 nt
Filed under: soil metagenome
Description: partial contains 5.8S ribosomal RNA, internal transcribed spacer 2, and large subunit ribosomal RNA
Rfam family: 5.8S ribosomal RNA (bases 1-120)
Source: RNAcentral
GAUGAAGAACGUAGCGAAAUGCGAUAAGUAAUGUGAAUUGCAGAAUUCAGUGAAUCAUCGAAUCUUUGAACGCACAUUGCGCCCGCCAGUAUUCUGGCGAGCAUGCCUGUUCGAGCGUCAUUUCAACCAUCAAGCCCCAGGCUUGUGUUGGAGCCCUGCGGCUGCCGCAGCCUCCCAAAACCAGUGGCGGGCUCGCUAUCACACCGAGUGCAGUAGUUUACUCUUCGCUCAGGGCGUGUGGCGGGUGCUAGCCGUGAAACCCCCAACUUCUUAAGGUUGACCUCGGAUCAGGUAGGAAUACCCGCUGAACUUAAGCAUAUCAAUAAGCGGAGGA